AUGGUGCCGCAGAUCGACGUCGCUGCAACAGCUACCAGCUGCAUCGGCCGUCGCUACAAGGGACGUCUCUUGCAGUGGGUCAUCCUCGUCGGCGACGCCUGCUGCAAGCACCCAUCGUGUCGCGUAGAGACGGUGUGUAAGCGAGCAGUGUGGUGUCCUCGCCGGCGACGACUGCUUCAGAGCAACACGAGAAGGCAAGUACGCGCUUGCAGAAGGUGCGGUGCUGCAAGCGCUGACGUACGGUGGCGACUCUCGGCGCGGACAUCGUCACUGCUGCAUCCCUCGCUUCAUCUCGACACCGGCGUUGCAAUGGAGCUUCGCCGGAGUUGCAAUGAGCUUCGUCGGAGCCGCCGGGGCUGCGUUGGAGCUCCGUCAAGGUUGCAAUGGAGAUUCGCCGGAGUUGCAAUGAAGCUUCGUCGGUGUCAUCGGUGCUGCGUUGGAGCUCCGUCGAGGUUGCAAUGGAGCUUCGCCGGAGUCGUCGGUGCUGGGUUGGAGCUCCGCCGUGGCUGCAAUGGAGCUUCGGCGAACGUUGUCGGUGCUGCCAUGAGGCUACAAUGA
Molecule: ribosomal RNA, 558 nt
Filed under: Triticum aestivum (bread wheat)
Lineage: Eukaryota; Viridiplantae; Streptophyta; Magnoliopsida; Poales; Poaceae
Description: partial small subunit ribosomal RNA
Source: RNAcentral